UACCACGUAGCUCAGUUGGUAGAGCAUUGGACUAGCAUCCCAGAGGUCGCGGGUUCGAUUCCCACCGUGGCCA
This 73-nucleotide transfer RNA is filed under the name Paramuricea clavata. It matches the Rfam family "tRNA". Rfam says of the family: Transfer RNA (tRNA) molecules are approximately 80 nucleotides in length. The record is from Rfam by way of RNAcentral. Lineage: Eukaryota; Metazoa; Cnidaria; Anthozoa; Malacalcyonacea; Plexauridae.